GCCGGGAUGGCGGAAUUGGCAGACGCGUGCGUUUGAGGGGCGUAUGGGGUUUCCCGUGGGGGUUCAAAUCCCCCUCCCGGCA
This 82-nucleotide transfer RNA is filed under the name bacterium (Candidatus Ratteibacteria) CG23_combo_of_CG06-09_8_20_14_all_48_7. Its description in RNAcentral is "tRNA-Leu". It matches the Rfam family "tRNA". Rfam says of the family: Transfer RNA (tRNA) molecules are approximately 80 nucleotides in length. Their secondary structure includes four short double-helical elements and three loops (D, anti-codon, and T loops). The record is from RNAcentral. Lineage: Bacteria; Candidatus Ratteibacteria.